GCGGACAUGGUGGAAUUGGUAGACACGCCAGACUUAGGAUCUGGUGGCGCAAGCUGUAAGAGUUCAAGUCUCUUUGUCCGCACCA
RNAcentral lists this transfer RNA (85 nucleotides) under Alphaproteobacteria bacterium. RNAcentral's name for it is "tRNA-Leu". It matches the Rfam family "tRNA". Rfam says of the family: Transfer RNA (tRNA) molecules are approximately 80 nucleotides in length. Their secondary structure includes four short double-helical elements and three loops (D, anti-codon, and T loops). Lineage: Bacteria; Pseudomonadati; Pseudomonadota; Alphaproteobacteria. The record is from RNAcentral.